AGCGAACGCUGGCGGCAGGCCUAAAACAUGCAAGUCGAACGCCGUAGCAAUACGGUGUGGCAGACGGGUGAGUAACACGUGGGAACGUACCCUUUGGUUCGGAACAACACAGGGAAACUUGUGCUAAUACCGGAUAAGCCCUUACGGGGAAAGAUUUAUCGCCAAAGGAUCGGCCCGCGUCUGAUUAGCUUGUUGGUGAGGUAACGGCUCACCAAGGCUACGAUCAGUAGCUGGUCUGAGAGGAUGAUCAGCCACACUGGGACUGAGACACGGCCCAGACUCCUACGGGAGGCAGCAGUUAGGAAUCUUGGACAAUGGGCGCAAGCCUGAUCCAGCCAUGCCGCGUGAGUGAUGAAGGCCUUAGGGUUGUAAAGCUCUUUCAGCGGGGAAGAUAAUGACGGUACCCGCAGAAGAAGCACCGGCUAACUACGUGCCAGCAGCCGCGGU
This 447-nucleotide ribosomal RNA is filed under the name uncultured bacterium. RNAcentral describes it as "bacterial SSU rRNA". It matches the Rfam family "Bacterial small subunit ribosomal RNA", at positions 29 to 521 of the family's 1533-position model. The record is from RNAcentral.